AAAAAAAAAAAAAAAAACAAGACAUAUUGUAUUUGGUUCAGGCUUCAUGUGGUACCUACCUAGUGGCUUUUUUUGUUUUUUAUGGAACUUGUGGAGGAAUCCUAUAAUAAAAAAGCACAAAAGGACAAAACAUGAUGCUGGAAAUGAAAAUCAUGUUUUUCUAUACCUUUUUUUUUUUGGAACUUCAAUUUCAUUACAUGGCCCUAUUCGGGCAUCAAGCUUACAAACAUGAUCAAGAGUUUGGGGAAAGGCCACUAGCCAAUUACAGGUCAAUUGAUUGCUAAAACAGAGUUUGGCAAAGUGGUGAGCAGCUAAAUUGGCCUUUCUGCAAGUUUUCCUGUACAGUGGUCAGCUUUUGCAAGUUUUGCAGGGAUAAUCUCUUUCCAAAUUGAAUAUAAUUCUAACUUUUCUAAAAUUUGGAUGACCAUUUUGGAGUUUCCAUAAUCUGACAGACUCCUGGUCCCUAUAGCGUUGAUUACUUGAGAAAAAAAAAACAUGACUAAUCUGACACUAAACCUGCUGCUGAUUCUGAAGUUUUGCUAUGCAGUAUUAAAGGUCAAGAAAGUUAGGUACGUAUGCAGUAGUUCUCUUUACUCUCUACUUUCUAUAAAUGAAGGCCUGGGUUCUCAAUUAUUUCUCUCAAUUUUCUCACUAUCAUAAUUAUGCAGGGAAAUGAUGGGGGGCCCUGGGACCAUUUUGUCCGCUAUUAGAAGAAAAUUUGGGUUUUCCAAGUUUUGGCAAUGGAGAUUGCCUAAAGAGUCAUAAUCUAAAUUUUGUUCUCUAAUGGCAGAUGAGUAAAGAAGUAUCAAUAUAAAAGAUUCUGAAGACUAUAAAUCCUGAAAAAGAUGUGGAAGUUGCUAGAAACCACAAAGUGUUAGCUUAUUAGGUGAAUUUAUGACUUAAUAAUCAUUUUACCUGACAAACUUGUUAUUAUUUUAUGUUACAGUGUGAAAGCAUGGGGGCAGUGGAGAAGAAGCUGAAGGACAUGGAAAUCAAGUACGUGCGAGCCAUGGUGGAGGAAGGUGGAGUCCAUGUGGAUCAACUCUUCUUCCAUGACCCAGAUGGAUUCAUGAUUGAAAUAUGCAAUUGUGAUAGUCUGCCUGUGAUUCCUCUAGCUGGAGAGAUGGUACGAACGUGCUCUCUUGUGAAUCUGCCUACAAUACAGCAUAACAAGCAGCAGAUCCAGCAGGUGGUCCAGCAGUAGAGAGUUGUAUAGAGGCCAGCAAUAGAUGUAAUUUGUCAAUAAAAUUGUGGGGCUAAGGGGUGUGGUCUUUAUUAUGUUUUGUGUAUGUGUUGGUUUUAGUUUCCUUUGUUUCUUUUUUACUUGGGUCGGGUCUUUUGGUACCAAUAAGGUAAACGCAAAUGUCUUGCACUUCAACGUAGAUUGUCAUUCCUAGUAAAUUUACUUAAAAAAAAAUUAGUGAAAUACUAGUAAUAUGCGUGGUGAUAAUAUAUAAUUUUUAUUUUUAAUUUAAUAUA
RNAcentral lists this unclassified non-coding RNA (1479 nucleotides) under Hevea brasiliensis (rubber tree). The record is from RNAcentral. Lineage: Eukaryota; Viridiplantae; Streptophyta; Magnoliopsida; Malpighiales; Euphorbiaceae.